RNAcentral lists this ribosomal RNA (490 nucleotides) under Ravinia lherminieri. RNAcentral describes it as "partial 16S ribosomal RNA". It matches the Rfam family "Bacterial large subunit ribosomal RNA", at positions 1852 to 2598 of the family's 2925-position model. The record is from RNAcentral. Lineage: Eukaryota; Metazoa; Arthropoda; Insecta; Diptera; Sarcophagidae.
AGUCUACCUGCCCACUGAAUAAAUUUAAAUGGCCGCAGUAUACUAACUGUGCAAAGGUAGCAUAAUCAUUAGUCUUUUAAUUGAAGGCUUGUAUGAAUGGUUGGACGAGAUAUUAACUGUUUCAUAAAAAUUUAUAAUAGAAUUUUAUUUUUUAGUUAAAAAGCUAAAAUAAAGUUAAAAGACGAGAAGACCCUAUAAAUCUUUAUAUAUAAAUUAUUAGAAUUUUAUAGAUUUUUUUUAUUAUAAUAAUUAAUUAUAUUUUAUUGGGGUGAUAUUAAAAUUUAAUAAACUUUUAAUUGUUUAAAUCAUUAAUUUAUGAAUAAUUGAUCCGUUAAUAACGAUUAAAAAAAUAAGUUACUUUAGGGAUAACAGCGUAAUUUUUUUGGAGAGUUCAUAUCGAUAAAAAAGAUUGCGACCUCGAUGUUGGAUUAAGAUAUAAUUUUAGGUGUAGCCGCUUAAAUUUUAAGUCUGUUCGACUUUUAAAUUCUUA